RNAcentral lists this ribosomal RNA (390 nucleotides) under uncultured bacterium. RNAcentral's name for it is "bacterial SSU rRNA". It matches the Rfam family "Bacterial small subunit ribosomal RNA", at positions 30 to 419 of the family's 1533-position model. The record is from RNAcentral.
AUUGAACGCUGGCGGCAUGCCUUACACAUGCAAGUCGAACGGCAGCACGGGAGCAAUCCUGGUGGCGAGUGGCGAACGGGUGAGUAAUAUAUCGGAACGUGCCCAGUCGUGGGGGAUAACGUAGCGAAAGCUACGCUAAUACCGCAUACGAUCUAUGGAUGAAAGCGGGGGAUCGCAAGACCUCGCGCGAUUGGAGCGGCCGAUAUCAGAUUAGGUAGUUGGUGAGGUAAAGGCUCGCCAAGCCGACGAUCUGUAGCUGGUCUGAGAGGACGACCAGCCACACUGGGACUGAGACACGGCCCAGACUCCUACGGAGGCAGCAGUGGGGAAUUUUUGGGACAAUGGGCGCAAGCCUGAUCCAGCAAUGCCGCGUGCAGGAUGAAGGCCUUC